This 498-nucleotide ribosomal RNA is filed under the name uncultured bacterium. RNAcentral's name for it is "partial 16S ribosomal RNA". It matches the Rfam family "Bacterial small subunit ribosomal RNA", at positions 30 to 523 of the family's 1533-position model. The record is from RNAcentral.
AUUGAACGCUGGCGGCAUGCCUUACACAUGCAAGUCGAACGGUAACAGGUCUUCGGAUGCUGACGAGUGGCGAACGGGUGAGUAAUACAUCGGAACGUGCCCGAUCGUGGGGGAUAACGAAGCGAAAGCUUUGCUAAUACCGCAUAAGAUCUAAGGAUGAAAGCAGGGGACCGCAAGGCCUUGCGCGAACGGAGCGGCCGAUGGCAGAUUAGGUAGUUGGUGGGAUAAAAGCUUACCAAGCCGACGAUCUGUAGCUGGUCUGAGAGGACGACCAGCCACACUGGGACUGAGACACGGCCCAGACUCCUACGGGAGGCAGCAGUGGGGAAUUUUGGACAAUGGGCGAAAGCCUGAUCCAGCCAUGCCGCGUGCAGGAUGAAGGCCUUCGGGUUGUAAACUGCUUUUGUACGGAACGAAAAGACUCUUUCUAAUAAAGAGGGUCCAUGACGGUACCGUAAGAGUAAGCACCGGCUAACUACGUGCCAGCAGCCGCCGUAA